GAUGAACGCUGGCGGCGUGCCUAACACAUGCAAGUCGAGCGAAGCACUUACUGAAGAUUUCUUCGGAAUGACGAAGUUUGUGACGGAGCGGCGGACGGGUGAGUAACGCGGGGGCAACCUGCACUGUACAGGGGGAUAGCAGGUAGAAAUGACUGCUAAUACCGCAGAAGCCCACAGCUUCGCAUGAAGCAGUGGGAAAAACUCCGGUGUUAAAGGAUGGGCCCGCGUCUGAUUAGCUAGUCGGGAAGGUAACGGCUUACCAAGGCGACGAUCAGUAGCCGACCUGAGAGGGUGACCGGCCACAUUGGGACUGAGACACGGCCCAAACUCCUACGGGAGGCAGCAGUGGGGAAUAUUGCACAAUGGGGGAAACCCUGAUGCAGCGACGCCGCGUGAGCGAUGAAGUAUUUCGGUAUGUAAAGCUCUAUCAGAAGGGAAGAAAGUGACGGUACCUGACUAAGAAGCCCCGGCUAACUACGUG
Molecule: ribosomal RNA, 481 nt
Filed under: uncultured bacterium
Lineage: Bacteria
Description: partial 16S ribosomal RNA
Rfam family: Bacterial small subunit ribosomal RNA
Source: RNAcentral